CAGGCUGGUCGGGCAGCCGCGGCAUCCCUUUGCGGGAUGUCGAGGAAAGUCCGCGCUCCACAGGGCACGAUGUCGGGUAACACCCGGGGCGGGGCAACCUGCCAGAUCGGGCCACAGAAACAUACCACCCCGCAAGGGGCAAGGGUGAAACGGCGGUGUAAGAGACCACCGGCGCCGCAGUAAUGCGGCGGCCAGGCAACCCUCAUCGGGAGCAAGGCCAAGCAGGAACGGGAGGCGGCCCGCCUCAAUAUUCCCCGGGAUAGCGAUAUCCCGCGGGAUAGAAGUUCCGGGUAGGCUGCUUGAGCGGGCUGGCAACAGUCCGCCUAGAGAGAUGGCUGCUCAUACCGGUGCGCGUGUCCCCCUCGGGGGAGACCCGCCGGUUGGACAGAACGCGGCUUAUAGACUGACCUGAGGC
Molecule: RNase P RNA, 415 nt
Filed under: Chloroflexota bacterium
Lineage: Bacteria; Bacillati; Chloroflexota
Description: Chloroflexi bacterium (anaerobic digester metagenome) RNase P RNA component class A
Rfam family: Bacterial RNase P class A
About the family: Ribonuclease P (RNase P) is a ubiquitous endoribonuclease, found in archaea, bacteria and eukarya as well as chloroplasts and mitochondria. Its best characterised activity is the generation of mature 5'-ends of tRNAs by cleaving the 5'-leader elements of precursor-tRNAs.
Source: RNAcentral